Molecule: transfer RNA, 75 nt
Filed under: Crateriforma conspicua
Lineage: Bacteria; Pseudomonadati; Planctomycetota; Planctomycetia; Pirellulales; Pirellulaceae
Description: tRNA-Ala
Rfam family: tRNA
About the family: Transfer RNA (tRNA) molecules are approximately 80 nucleotides in length. Their secondary structure includes four short double-helical elements and three loops (D, anti-codon, and T loops). Further hydrogen bonds mediate the characteristic L-shaped molecular structure. tRNAs have two regions of fundamental functional importance: the anti-codon, which is responsible for specific mRNA codon recognition, and the 3' end, to which the tRNAs corresponding amino acid is attached (by aminoacyl-tRNA synthetases). tRNAs cope with the degeneracy of the genetic code in two manners: having more than one tRNA (with a specific anti-codon) for a particular amino acid; and 'wobble' base-pairing, i.e. permitting non-standard base-pairing at the 3rd anti-codon position.
Source: RNAcentral
GGGGGAUUAGCUCAGUUGGGAGAGCGCUACAAUGGCAUUGUAGAGGUCAUCGGUUCAAGUCCGUUAUCCUCCACC